RNAcentral lists this long non-coding RNA (852 nucleotides) under Homo sapiens (human). RNAcentral describes it as "non-protein coding LINC00905:13". The record is from RNAcentral. Lineage: Eukaryota; Metazoa; Chordata; Mammalia; Primates; Hominidae.
UGGCCUCCUCGCAGUGUUGCUGGGCCACGUCAGGAAGUGCUGGAGGACGUGGCAUUGCACCAACACCAGGCGGCCAGCCGUGUGGCUCAUCCCGCAAAUCAGGCUCUUCCUGUGCAUGGAGAUGGAGUCCCUCUGGAGGCAGCCCGUGGCCCUGUUCUCGGGCAGGUGGAGCAUGGAGACGACUGGGAACUUCACUAGACACGCAUCCAGCCGGUUCAAGGGCUUGUCGCGCCGUGCACCAGCUUGCAGGAGAAAGCCCAACGCCUCGCCAAGCACGAAGGCCUCCCUUCCCGACUUGAUGAAGGCAGAGUAGCGGUUGAGGUUGCGGCUCACAGUGACCGAGCUCCUGCCCACGUGGGGACCCAGGGAGCCGUCGAGCUCCAGGUAUGCACCUCUGCCCAGUGCACCUGGAUCGUUCACCGUCAUGGAGCUGCCAUCCCACUUGUCGUCCCAGUCAUCAUCACUGCCCUAGCUGGCCUAGUUGCCACCAAGGAGCUGCUGAGGCCACGGCUUCAGGGCAUCCCUACCGCCUGGAAAUCCUGCGCUGGCUGCUGGAAGGCACUCUGUGGUGGCACCAGCUGCGGCUGCAGUAGCAGCUGGAAAGCACUGAGAGAUGGCUUCAAGGAGGCAGGCAGUGCACCGGGCAGGGCCUUGAAACCUCUGGGUGGUACAAUGGCCAUGGCACAGUGGGUCAAGGCACAGGGGCAGCCAUGGCGCGCUGGGCCAGUCCAGGGUUGCAGACCACUUGCACUGCAGAUAUAAGGCCAGGGUUGCUGAGGCCAUGAGCCCCUGCGAGUCAGCCCUUGAUGUCCUGCUCACUACACAGGCUCAGCACUUCAUGUUCUCAUAGAU